This 334-nucleotide ribosomal RNA is filed under the name uncultured eukaryote. RNAcentral's name for it is "partial 18S ribosomal RNA". It matches the Rfam family "Eukaryotic small subunit ribosomal RNA", at positions 1470 to 1796 of the family's 1831-position model. The record is from RNAcentral.
CCCUUAGAUGUCCGGGGCCGCACGCGCGCUACACUGAAGGAAUCAGCGUGGCUUUCUCCCUGACCCGAAAGGGUUGGGAAACCCGUUGAAUCUCCUUCGUGAUAGGGAUUGGGGCUUGAAAUUGUUCCCCAUGAACGAGGAAUUCCCAGUAAGCGCGAGUCAUAAGCUCGCGUUGAUUACGUCCCUGCCCUUUGUACACACCGCCCGUCGCUACUACCGAUUGAACGGUUUAGCGAGGGCCUCGGAUUGGUCUCGGCCCGCUCUUUACCGGGCGGCGCCGUUGGUCGAGAAGACGCUCGAACUUGAUCGUUUAGAGGAAGUAAAAGUCGUAACA